UUCCGGGCUCCCUCCUGGAGACCCCAGGGCGGGGCGGUUCUAGGCCUUGACUGACAGCUCAGUGCCGCUCAGCACGGUAUAAUAGAUCUCCUAUGCAUGAAGCAGUAAAGGGGGUGAGAAGGAAAGCUCAGGUUUGAGGGGAAUGGGAUGCCGUGUGCCCUGUGGAGGGGGCCCUGAACGAGCUGGGGAGUUUGCAGUUCCUGUGGCCUGGCACCGAAACACCACCGAACAUUCGAUGAAAUGAAUGGGCAGCUUCCAAGCCCCCGACCCCUGUCUUUACUGUGGGGGAGACCGACGAGAAGGCAGGGGGCUUGGGCUGAAUCCAGGGCUCAGGCCAUAGAUGCGCCUCCCCCCAUACCGGCUCUCCCCUCAGCUCCCACUCCGGAGGGCAGCGUGGUCUCAGGGCCCCCGGUUUCAUCCCUGCCUGGGGAAUUACUUCGGCAGAGCCCGCGGGUGGAGUUUUCCUGUCAGCUAAAUUAGCCGCGGCUCCAGCCUGAGCGUCGGAAUAAAUGAGAUGCAAAUGUUCCAAGUGCUCCCGAGCCUUGUGUGCCCAGUGGCCGGCUACCCUGUUGGCUGAGGCAGCUCUAAGGUGCCUGAGCUGGAGCGAAGAACUGCUGGGGAGUCGUUUCUGUCAGGGAAACUGCUGAGUCUUUGGCAAGGGCAGAAAUGAGCCGGGUCUCCCUGGGAGCAUCUGCCCACACGUGGGCCUGGGCGAGCCUGCCCUGCCAGGCUGCAGAGAGGGAGGACCAGCCUCAGAGGAGGCGGACGGAGCCAACUCACAGCUUUGGAGUGGGGAUCACAGACACACUCAGUCCAGAGGCUCCUGAUUCCAAGGCGACCAAAAUGCCAGACGUGACUCAGGACGCUGGAGUGUGCCUGCCCUCGGGAUCCAGGAGGGCAAUGGGCAGGAAGGGGCUGCAAGGAGGGGUUAGGCCGGAGUGGAGUCCCUCUUCACCCCUCAGAUGAACAACCGUCCUGGUUUGUCUGGGACUGAAGGUAUCUCAGACACAGGAAUUCUACUGCUAAAACAGGGGAAAUCCUGAAUAUCACCGCCCCAUCCCAGACAGUACCCACAGUUGCACUCUGGGCUGCCAGCCUGUCAUGCUCUGUGUCAUAGCUUUGUAACCACCAUUGAUUGAGAACCAGCUCUCUGCCCUGUGCAUUCAGGAAAUCUUCCGCCCAGCAGGCCUAUUGAAGAGACAAAAAGAGGAGACCGUCCAGGACAGUCCAGUCUGGUGUGAACAGUCAAUAUUCUUCCCUACAAUAUCUCUGCCCUGAUGUGGACAUCCAUACAUACAGGCCAAUGACUCAGAGGAGGGCGCGAGAAGCUUUCAGGCUGUUUGGGGAGACCAGAAUUGCCCCCAUGGCCUGUCAGAGAGCAGCUGAGGCCUGAAGGGGGCAAGGACUGGGGGUGGGGCUCAGCCUCCUGGCCCAGAGGAGUGAGGUCAGUGUGGGUGGGCAGUCAGAGGAAGUGUCCUGGAGGAGAUGGGGUAGUGAGGAGAGCCUGAGGUCACUCUGCCCUCGCACAGGGCUGGGGAAGUGUUUGGGAAUGUCUAGGCCAGGGAGUGGUGGGAGCUGCACGUGGAGGAUGGAAGGUAAAAGGGAGGAGGCCAGUGGUAGUGGGAUCAGCAUGGUCCCAGCUGGGACGAGGAUGCCUGUCCCAGGGCAGUGGCAUUGGGGAUGGGGGCUGUGAAGUUUGGUGGGGGUGUGGGGUUGUAGCCAGUGUCAGAGGAAGGGACGUAAGGAGGAACCAGUUUGAAAAGGAGCAUUCAUAGUUUGUUCCCAUUAACUCUCAGGAACCACCAGAAUGUAGGGAGAGAUGCACCCAGUAAGCAGAAGCUGAUGAACUUGGGACAGGAUGGAGUAGCGGGUCCCUAGAGCUCGAGUGAAGCUGACAGGAUAGGGGAAACUGGCCCAGGGAGAGUGGUCAGCUGGAAGAAGCUGUCCUAGCCCAGGGAGCGGCAGCAGGGCUGGUGCAGAUGGAGAAGCUGUCCUGGGUGAGAGGAGAGAGUCACGGAAUGCUGGCGUCUAGAAGAGGAGCUGUGCUCUUUCAAUCAGAUCAAGUCCAGUCUCCCCCGCAUGAUGGAG
Molecule: long non-coding RNA, 2088 nt
Organism: Equus caballus (horse)
Lineage: Eukaryota; Metazoa; Chordata; Mammalia; Perissodactyla; Equidae
Source: Ensembl